GGGGCAGUGUGACGCCACAAAGUUUCAUGCACCGCAGCUAGGAAGCAGAAGAAGAAAAAACCGGAAGUGGGCAGAAAUGAAAAUGUUUCCAACACGUCAUCGACGACUAAGUUAACAUUAGAGGAGAAAAAGAAGGUGAAAAGAGCAGUACAAGGACAGGAAGUCAUUUUAAAUGGACAUUAUCAAGGAGCCCGCGACCACAGCGAUGCCCACUCGUGAGCACCGACGGCAGCUCCGUGGUUGUUUCCUCUCCCCUGUAAGGAUGGGGGGAAAAAAGGUCCAGAACUGUGACGUUUGGCUGGCAUCGUGGUGUGGUUUUUGUUCUCUUGUGGAUGCAAGCGGAUUGGACACAGCGUGAAGGU
Molecule: long non-coding RNA, 362 nt
Organism: Nerophis ophidion (straightnose pipefish)
Lineage: Eukaryota; Metazoa; Chordata; Actinopteri; Syngnathiformes; Syngnathidae
Exons: 4
Source: RefSeq, a predicted model, not a curated record